This 254-nucleotide ribosomal RNA is filed under the name uncultured bacterium. Its description in RNAcentral is "partial 16S ribosomal RNA". It matches the Rfam family "Bacterial small subunit ribosomal RNA", at positions 524 to 776 of the family's 1533-position model. The record is from RNAcentral.
UACAGAGGGGGCUAGCGUUGUUCGGAAUCACUGGGCGUAAAGGGUGCGUAGGCUGUCCGUUAAGUCUGAUGUGAAAACCCUGGGCUCAACUCAGGAAUUGCAUUGGAAACUGGCGGACUCAGAGUACCGGAGAGGGAAGCGGAAUUCCUGGUGUAGCGGUGGAAUGCGCAGAUAUCAGGAGGAACACCGAUGGCGAAGGCAGCUCGCUGGGACGGUACUGACGCUGAGGCGCGAAAGCGUGGGGAGCGAACAGG